CUGAACUGCUCAGAGCGGGUGUGAGCGUCGAGUGGAGCAAACUAACAGAGUUAGUGGGUGUCUGAGGAGGAAUGGAGCCAGCGGAGUGGGCAGGGAGGCUUAAUAAAGACACAGUGCAAGUCAUGGACCCCAAAUAACAAGGUACCGGUCUUGUGUUUGCAGAGAACGAGCCGCAGAAGUCUGGAUUUCUCCCUUCGCCAGGCCCGAGGAUACUAGAAGAUGAGAUUUUGCAGGUGGGAAAUUCAAACCAAACAUCACACUAGAGUCUGCAAGAAUCACUCGAUUCAUCAGGACCUGGAUAUUAUCGAUCUCUGAGUAUACCAGCGCCUAUUGUGACCCCCAGUUGCCUGUGGAGAAGAUGAUGUUUGACCUUGUUGAACCGCUGCAGUCCGUGUGGUGAAGGUGCUCCCACAAUGCUGUUAGGGUAUUAGAAGAGGAGGAUUUGCAGUUGAGAAACUAAAACCAAACAUCACAUCAGGAGCUGACAGAGUCGCCCAAUUUAUCGUAACCUGAAUAUCAUCGGAUUUUGAACAUGGAAGGAAAAAGCACUGUUCACAGUGGGGAGAAACCGUACACGUGUUCUGUGUGUGGACGAGGCUUCAGCCGAUCAUCUGGCCUGUCCAGACACAAGCGCAGUCACACUGGGGAGAGUCCGUGGAAAUGUGGGGAGUGUGGGAAGGGAUUUAGAACCCCAUCUGAGCUGGAAACUCAUCAACGCACUCACACUGGGGAGAGACCAUUUACCUGCUCCGAGUGUGGAAAGGGAUUCACUCAGUCAUCCAAACUCCUGAGACACCAGCGAGUUCACACUGGGGAGAGACCUUUUAAAUGCCCAGACUGUGGAACGUGCUAUAAAAGCUCCUGGGAUCUGAUGUCCCAUCAACGUGUUCACACUGAUGAGAGACCGUUCAGCUGCUCUCAGUGUGGGACUGGGUUCAGGUGGUCAUCUCAACUCACUGCACACCAGCGCACUCACACUGGGGAGAGGCCGUUCACCUGUCCUCAGUGUGGAAUGAGAUUCACUGAUUCCUCCACCCUGCUGACACACCAGCAACUUCAUGAGUAACGACAGUGAUUGGAUUUUGCUGUUAAAGACAUCCAGGACUGAACCGUGUGCAUUGGGGUCUGAUUCUGCUGAUGUUAAUAAACUCCAGCCCAGUUAUAGACCUUAAUAUUCCGGCUAAAAGUCAAAUAAAUCAGCUUUGAUCAGCUUCAGCCCAUCAUCUUUCAUGUUGAGACACAAGUGCAGUCACACUGGGGAGAAACUGUUGAAAUAUAGGGAGUGUGGGAAAGGAUUCAAUUACCCAUCCCAGCUGGAAAUUCAGUGACACAGUCACACUGGGGAGAGACCAUUCAUCUGCAUCCAGUGUGGGAAGGGAUUCACUCAUUCAUCUCUCCUGCUGAGACACCAGCGAGUUCACACUGGGGAGAGACCUUUCACCAGCAUCCAGUGUGGGAAGUGCCAUAGAGAUUCUGUGGAAAUGAUGUCUCAUUAAGAUUCUCAAACUGAAAAGAGACCUUUUAAAUGUCCAGACUGUGGGAAGUGUUAUAAAUGUUCAGGGAACUGAUGCACCAUCAUCAUGUUCACACUGGGAGAAACCAUUUACCAACUCUGAGUGUGGGAAGGGAUUCACUCAAUCAUCCCCCCCUGCUGACACACCAGUGAGUUCACUUUGGGGAGAGACCGUUCACCUGCUUCAUGUGUGGAAAAGGUUUCACUACCUCAACUCACCUGCUAAGACACCAGCGAGUUCACAAGUAACCACAGUGAUUGGGUUUUGCUGUUAAUCACACCCAGGACUGAAUCUUGUUCAUUGGGGUCUAUUUCUGCUGAUGUUAAUAAACUCUAGCACAGUUUUAGGG
This is a long non-coding RNA of Carcharodon carcharias (great white shark), 1863 nucleotides long. RefSeq lists it as uncharacterized. The record is from RefSeq and is a predicted model, not a curated record. Lineage: Eukaryota; Metazoa; Chordata; Chondrichthyes; Lamniformes; Lamnidae. The transcript has 4 exons.